This 677-nucleotide ribosomal RNA is filed under the name Cytobacillus firmus. RNAcentral describes it as "bacterial SSU rRNA". It matches the Rfam family "Bacterial small subunit ribosomal RNA", at positions 43 to 703 of the family's 1533-position model. Lineage: Bacteria; Bacillati; Bacillota; Bacilli; Caryophanales; Bacillaceae. The record is from RNAcentral.
CAGGCCUAACACAUGCAAGUCGAGCGGACAGAUGGGAGCUUGCUCCCUGAAGUCAGCGGCGGACGGGUGAGUAACACGUGGGCAACCUGCCUGUAAGACUGGGAUAACUCCGGGAAACCGGGGCUAAUACCGGAUAAUUCUUUUCCUCACAUGAGGGAAAGCUGAAAGAUGGUUUCGGCUAUCACUUACAGAUGGGCCCGCGGCGCAUUAGCUAGUUGGUGAGGUAACGGCUCACCAAGGCAACGAUGCGUAGCCGACCUGAGAGGGUGAUCGGCCACACUGGGACUGAGACACGGCCCAGACUCCUACGGGAGGCAGCAGUAGGGAAUCUUCCGCAAUGGACGAAAGUCUGACGGAGCAACGCCGCGUGAGUGAUGAAGGUUUUCGGAUCGUAAAACUCUGUUGUUAGGGAAGAACAAGUACCGGAGUAACUGCCGGUACCUUGACGGUACCUAACCAGAAAGCCACGGCUAACUACGUGCCAGCAGCCGCGGUAAUACGUAGGUGGCAAGCGUUGUCCGGAAUUAUUGGGCGUAAAGCGCGCGCAGGCGGUUCCUUAAGUCUGAUGUGAAAGCCCCCGGCUCAACCGGGGAGGGUCAUUGGAAACUGGGGAACUUGAGUGCAGAAGAGAAGAGUGGAAUUCCACGUGUAGCGGUGAAAUGCGUAGAGAUGUGGAG